RNAcentral lists this ribosomal RNA (447 nucleotides) under uncultured bacterium. Its description in RNAcentral is "bacterial SSU rRNA". It matches the Rfam family "Bacterial small subunit ribosomal RNA", at positions 330 to 793 of the family's 1533-position model. The record is from RNAcentral.
GCCAGACUCCUACGGGAGGCAGCAGUGGGGAAUAUUGCACAAUGGGGGAAACCCUGAUGCAGCGACGCCGCGUGAGCGAGGAAGUAUUUCGGUAUGUAAAGCUCUGUCAGCAGGGAAGAAGAAUGACGGUACCUGAAGAAGAAGCACCGGCUAAAUACGUGCCAGCAGCCGCGGUAAUACGUAUGGUGCAAGCGUUAUCCGGAUUUACUAGGUGUAAAGGGAGCGCAGGCGGUUCUGCAAGUCUGAUGUGAAAGCCCGGGGCUCAACCGCGGGACUGCAUUGGAAACUGCGGGACUGGAGUGUCGGAGGGGUAAGCGGAAUUCCUGGUGUAGCGGUGAAAUGCGUAGAUAUCAGGAGGAACACCGGUGGCGAAGGCGGCUUACUGGACGAUGACUGACGCUGAGGCUCGAAAGCGUGGGGAGCAAACAGGAUUAGAUACCCUUGUAC